RNAcentral lists this long non-coding RNA (1978 nucleotides) under Nicotiana tabacum (common tobacco). RNAcentral's name for it is "long non-coding RNA (NTAB_LNC002371)". Lineage: Eukaryota; Viridiplantae; Streptophyta; Magnoliopsida; Solanales; Solanaceae. The record is from RNAcentral.
AUUGUGAAACAACAGACACCUUUAUUUAAGGCAUAGCUAUCCUUUUUAUGUCACGACCCAAUUUAGGAUUGUGACCGGCGCUCCCAAGUAAGUCUCUUCAGAAAUUUUACAAAAAGUCGGACAGAGUUUCUCCUGUUUUUGGACCAUCCCAAAAUUUUUUUUGUCUUAAAUCAACAACCAAACAUCCUAAUAUCAUACCAAACAAUUGACAACUUGUCAAUUAACUAAUACAAAUCUUCACCAUAACUAAACCACCAACCAACCGCUAGAAAUACUAAUUUAUCUCCAACUUUGAUAAAUGAGAACGAUACUCAACAUAAGACUAUAAUAACGAAAGAAUACGCAUGACACUAAAAUAAUGACUAUGGAGCGACUCUAAGAGUUCAACGAAAAGACCAUAACAAUAAGUAAAAUCUCUGCCCACGCGAACAAGUGCGAAGCUCACCGAGAAAUAUCAACAUGUGCGCUCUAAUUAACGAAAUCCUCGCCUGCGUCAACUGCUGUCUCUGUAAAAAAAAAUUAGCGGGGAAUAAGUCGCUAGCUUAGUGAGUAAUAACACUUAACCACAAUCGUUUUUAUUGGGGACAAGUCAGAAAACAUGCUAGUAUCUCAAACAGAAGAUAACAUAAAAAUGCCCUUUUAGAAACAAUAAUAAAUUUUCCCUCCCAUCAUGUUCUUUUUGUAGUAUAAUACAAAUAAUAAUAGUAAUAAGCUCGGUAACCACUGUACAAUAUCAAUAUUCACAUUUGGGAGGUUUCAAUGAACGGAUCAUGUAAUCGGUAUAACUGUGGACUUCUUCGCAAGAAGUCAAAUAUAACGGUAGUCCCUACUCGAGGAAAAUCGAUAACGGUAUGCUAGUUCUACCUUCCCACUAGCGAGGGCUAUAACGGUAAUCUGUAAUUACAAGGUGCACCAGGUCUAACGAACCCGCCGUUAGCUACGGGAUCCUUCAAAGUCUACUCCCAUUUAUAUUUGUCUCGGUAAUCCGUAUAUACUCAUAGAAAAUAUUUUAAACCAAUAUUGGGCAUUUCGGUUCUUAUCAAAUCGUAUAAUUUCUUUUCAAUAACAGUAAAUUCAAGUAACGGUAAAACAGAUCUAGUUACAACGAAAAUAUUUAAAAUACGAUAAUCUUCUCAAAUAACUAUUUUGGUAUCAUAUCGAGUAAAAGACUUGUCUCACAUGCAACUCAAAAUAAUCGGUAACAUAUUCAUAUUAAAAAUUAUGUGUAAAUCAUGCAAGUUAUGAAAACACAAAUUGCAGUAAGAUUACUACUCACAGUUUUCGUGCCGAAAUACCAAAUGCUUCACCUCGAGCAAUUCGUACAAAUUCCUCCAAUCAAUCUAUAAUUACAUAAUAUCUAUCUCAUGUUAAUUUCCUUGUUUAGGCUAAUUCAUAGCUAUUUUAGAAACCCAAUCACCGGGGUUCAUGUUUGAAUCUUAAUUUGUGGAUUUAUAUUUACCCAUGUUAUGAGUAAUUUAAAUUAGUCCAAAAAAAAAUCUUGUAAAUAAAAAGGUAUUUAUAUUUAAUCAUAGAACUAGUCCAUAAUUCUAUAAAUUUCAAACUAUUUAAUAUAAUUUAUUCCUCUAGAAGUAGACCUAUCAUUGCUUAAACUAAACCCUUAUAGCCUUGUUAUCUCCAUAGUAAUUGUAUAUUCCUUUUUAUAUAAAAGAAAGUUGAUAUUGAAUUCCUUUGUACCUCAUGAAAUUGCAUAAAUAUAGUGAAAUAAUUCAACAGAUAAGAAGAAGAAGGUUAACCUCUUGAGUCAUACUUUUAAUUUCAACUCCCAAUUCUUCUUAAGGUCUUUGCCCAAAGCUUUUUUCAUCUUCUUUUCUUUUCCCCCCUUUCUUUUUCUCUGAAACCCGCUGCUCCUGUUCUCCUUUUUUUUCGCAGCUUGCUGCUUUCCCCCUUACUGUUUUCUAAGAUUUUUCAGAGAAUGGCUUCGUGCCCUUAUAAAAUCCUUAUUCUUUUUUUUUUUGUG